GGGGAAUAUUGCACAAUGGGCGAAAGCCUGAUGCAGCAAUGCCGCGUGUGUGAAGAAGGCUCUAGGGUUGUAAAGCACUUUCAAUAAGGAAGAAAAGCAUAAGGUUAAUAACCUUAUGUAUUGACGUAACUUAUACAAGAAGCACCGGCUAAUUCCGUGCCAGCAGCCGCGGUAAUACGGAAGGUGCAAGCGUUAAUCGGAAUUACUGGGCGUAAAGCGCGCGUAGGCUGUUAUUUAAGUCGGAUGUGAAAUCCUCGGGCUCAACCUGGGAACUGCAUCCGAAACUGAAUAACUAGAGUAUGGGAGAGGUAAGUAGAAUUUCCGGUGUAGCGGUGAAAUGCGUAGAUAUCGGAAGGAAUACCAGUGGCGAAGGCGGCUUACUGGACCAAUACUGACGCUGAGGUGCGAAAGCGUGGGGAGCGAACAGG
Molecule: ribosomal RNA, 428 nt
Filed under: uncultured bacterium
Lineage: Bacteria
Description: bacterial SSU rRNA
Rfam family: Bacterial small subunit ribosomal RNA
Source: RNAcentral